UUAAGGCUGCAUGUGUGCUUUGUUUUGCAGGAGGCCGCCGUGUUUGCACAAGAGCAAGGCUUUGAGACUGAAGACGUUGAGGAGAUUGCGAAGAAGGCCCAAAGCUUGCCCAAAGAGAACAAGAAAAGGCAGAGGAUUGUUGUCCUCACCCAAGGGAAAGAACGAACUAUAAUGACCAAAGGUGACGAGGUGGAGACAUUCCCUGUCCUGGAGAUCGACCAGAGCAAGAUAGUGGACACCACCGGUGCUGGAGACGCCUUUGUUGGAGGUUUCCUGUCUCAACUGGUACAGGAUAAGACCUUUGAGCAGUGCAUCCGCGCUGGACACUACGCUGCUAACGUCAUUAUUCGCCAUGCAGGCUGCACAUUCCCAGAAAAGCCAGACUUCCACUGAUGGGCUGCUGAGAGACCGGAAGAUACGGCCGUCCGUGUGUUUUAUAGGACUAAUGCCUUUUUUAAUUAACUUUUUUUUAUCUUCUGUUCCUCUUUCCUCUCUUGUUCACUGCCUGCCUUCUGCUGUGUCACAUUAAAAACCAUUUACAAGAGAGGCAAAAGAGGAAUUUCUCUUGGAUAUAUUGAUUUGUUUUUACUAAAGCCAUUUUAGUAUCACUGUUAAGAGUGAUGAACAUAGCCAGCAUCUUUCCAGAUGUGGAGUUUGCUAACAAAAUUAUUGUAGUUGUAAUUAGCUGUAAAAAAAAAGAAAAAGCUGAAGCCGAUAUUGUAAAACCUACAGAAGCCAGUUUGAAUCAUUUGAACUUUUUUUUUAAAUCAAAGGCUUGUUUUAUCUCAAAUGUUGUUGGCCAGUCUUUCUGUUGUAAGCCAAAUGUAUUUGUGGGAAACACUUGAAUGUGUCACAAACUGCAAAAGGAAACAAAUAAAAGGCUGUAUUACUGCU
Carassius auratus (goldfish) is the source of this 894-nucleotide long non-coding RNA. RefSeq lists it as uncharacterized. The record is from RefSeq and is a predicted model, not a curated record. The transcript is spliced from 4 exons. NCBI's taxonomy places the organism in Eukaryota, Metazoa, Chordata, Actinopteri, Cypriniformes, Cyprinidae.